GACGGGGACCCGCACAAGCGGUGGAUGAUGUGGUUUAAUUCGAUGCAACGCGAAAAACCUUACCCACCUUUGACAUGUACGGAAUUUGCCAGAGAUGGCUUAGUGCUCGAAAGAGAGCCGUAACACAGGUGCUGCAUGGCUGUCGUCAGCUCGUGUCGUGAGAUGUUGGGUUAAGUCCCGCAACGAGCGCAACCCUUGUCAUUAGUUGCUACGAAAGGGCACUCUAAUGAGACUGCCGGUGACAAACCGGAGGAAGGUGGGGAUGACGUCAAGUCCUCAUGGCCCUUAUAGGUGGGGCUACACACGUCAUACAAUGGCCGGUACAAAGGGUCGCAAACCCGCGAGGGGGAGCCAAUCCAUCAAAGCCGGUCGUAGUCCGGAUCGCAGUCUGCAACUCGACUGCGUGAAGUCGGAAUCGCUAGUAAUCGUGGAUCAGCAUGUCACGGUGAAUACGUUCCCGGGUCUU
Molecule: ribosomal RNA, 466 nt
Filed under: uncultured Comamonadaceae bacterium
Lineage: Bacteria; Pseudomonadati; Pseudomonadota; Betaproteobacteria; Burkholderiales; Comamonadaceae
Description: bacterial SSU rRNA
Rfam family: Bacterial small subunit ribosomal RNA
Source: RNAcentral